Molecule: ribosomal RNA, 468 nt
Filed under: uncultured bacterium
Lineage: Bacteria
Description: partial 16S ribosomal RNA
Rfam family: Bacterial small subunit ribosomal RNA
Source: RNAcentral
GACGAACGCUGGCGGCGUGCUUAACACAUGCAAGUCGAACGGAAAGGCCCUGCUUUUGUUGGUUGCUCGAUUGGCGAACGGGUGAGUAACACGUGAGUAACCUGCCCUUGACUUUGGGAGAACUUCAGGAAACUGGGGCUAAUACCGGAUAUGAGCUCCUGCUGCAUGGUGGUGGUUGGAAAGUUUCGGCGGUUGGGGAUGGACUCGCGGCUUAUCAGCUUGUUUGUGGGGUAGUGGCUUACCAAGGCUUUGACGGGUAGCCGGCCUGAGAGGGUGACCGGCCACAUUGGGACUGAGAUACGGCGCAGAAUCCUACGGGAGGCAGCAGUGGGGAAUCUUGCACAAUGGGCGGAAGCCUGAUGCGGCAACGCCGCGUGCGGGAUGACGGCCUUCGGGUUGUAAACCGCUUUCGACUGUGACGAAGCGUGAGUGACGGUAAUGGGUAAAGAAGCACCGGCUAACUACGUG